GAGCACUGUUCGCAACCUGUCAGCCUUGUUGUACUUGGUGGGUUCCAUUUUAGUACAACAGGAUUUCCAGUGACAUAUGACUGAUUGACUGGCUGGCUGGUGGCUUUCAGUUUCAGGUCUUGGAGACAACA
This is a small nucleolar RNA of Mesocricetus auratus (golden hamster), 131 nucleotides long. The record is from Ensembl. NCBI's taxonomy places the organism in Eukaryota, Metazoa, Chordata, Mammalia, Rodentia, Cricetidae.